This 244-nucleotide ribosomal RNA is filed under the name uncultured Staphylococcus sp. RNAcentral describes it as "partial 16S ribosomal RNA". It matches the Rfam family "Bacterial small subunit ribosomal RNA", at positions 96 to 334 of the family's 1533-position model. The record is from RNAcentral. Lineage: Bacteria; Bacillati; Bacillota; Bacilli; Caryophanales; Staphylococcaceae.
CGGCGGACGGGUGAGUAACACGUGGAUAACCUACCUAUAAGACUGGGAUAACUUCGGGAAACCGGAGCUAAUACCGGAUAAUAUUUUGAACCGAAUGGUUCAAAAGUAAAAGACGGUCUUGCUGUCACUUAUAGAUGGAUCCGCGCUGCAUUAGCUAGUUGGUAAGGUAACGGCUUACCAAGGCAACGAUGCAUAGCCGACCUGAGAGGGUGAUCGGCCACACUGGAACUGAGACACGGUCCAG